AUUGAACGCUGGCGGCAGGCCUAACACAUGCAAGUCGAACGAGUGGCGGACGGGUGAGUAAUGUCUGGGAAACUGCCCGAUGGAGGGGGAUAACUACUGUAAACGGUAGCUAAUCCCGCAUACCAUCCGAUGCGCCCAUAUGGGAUUCUAUAGUAGGUGGGGUAAAGGCUCACCUAGGCGACGAUCCCUAGCUGGUCUGAGAGGAUGACCAGCCACACUGGGACUGAGACACGGUCCAGACUCCUACGGUAGGCAGCAGUGGGGAAUAUUGCACAAUGGGCGCAAGCCUGAUGCAGCCAUGCCGCGUGUAUGAAGAAGGCCUUCGGGUUGUAAAGUACUUUCAGCGGGGAGGCGUUACCCGCAGAAGAAGCACCGGCUAACUCCGUGCCAGCAGCCGCGGUAAUAC
This 406-nucleotide ribosomal RNA is filed under the name uncultured bacterium. Its description in RNAcentral is "partial 16S ribosomal RNA". It matches the Rfam family "Bacterial small subunit ribosomal RNA", at positions 30 to 526 of the family's 1533-position model. The record is from RNAcentral.